GGUUCUGUGUAGCUCAACUGGUAGAGCAUUGCAUUAACACUGCCAGCAUUAGGGGUUCAAUUCCCUGUCUAGCCCA
Non-coding RNA from Merluccius polli (Benguela hake), 76 nucleotides. The record is from the annotation of a GenBank genome assembly. NCBI's taxonomy places the organism in Eukaryota, Metazoa, Chordata, Actinopteri, Gadiformes, Merlucciidae.